GACGAGGGAUCCUAGCGUUGUUCGGAAUCAUUGGGCGUAAAGCGGGUGUAGGUGGCUUUGUAAGUCAGGUGUGAAAGCCCAGGGCUCAACCCUGGAAGUGCAUUUGAUACUGCGAAGCUUGAGUGCUGGAGAGGUAAGUAGAAUUCCUGGUGUAGUGGUGAAAUACGUAGAUAUCAGGAGGAAUACCGGAGGCGAAGGCGGCUUACUAGCCAGACACUGACACUCAGACCCGAAAGUGUGGGGAUCAAAC
This 250-nucleotide ribosomal RNA is filed under the name uncultured bacterium. RNAcentral's name for it is "partial 16S ribosomal RNA". It matches the Rfam family "Bacterial small subunit ribosomal RNA", at positions 524 to 773 of the family's 1533-position model. The record is from RNAcentral.